UCCUCUCUCUCCUCCUCGACGCAGGAGAAGUAGUGGUGUUGAAGCGGAGCAAGGAGAGCAGUUCAGUGAUCAAAAGGAAGAGGAGGAGGAGGAGGAGAAAGUAGGAGAAGAGAACACAACAAUGGCUUCAUUGUGCUCCAUCCCCACCCUCUCCAAACCCCUCGCCCCAAAGCCCAAAGCUGCCACCUUUAGGCCUCGCUUCUCCAUCUCCUGCUCUGCUUCUUUACCCCAACAACAACAGCCACAACAAGGAGAUGACUCCGUCUCUUCUUCUCUCAAGACCUUCUCCGCCGCCUUGGCGCUCUCCUCCCUCCUCCUCUCCUCCGCCGCCGCCCCUCCCCCCGCUGUCGCUGACAUCUCCGGCCUCACCCCGUGCAAGGAGUCCAAGGCCUUCGCGAAGCGGGAGAAGCAAUCCAUCAAGAAGCUGGAAGCCUCGCUGAAAAAGUACGCGCCCGACUCCGCGCCGGCUCUCGCCAUCAAGGCCUCCAUCGAGAAGACCAAGCGCCGGUUCGAGAACUAUGGCAAGUUCGGCCUCCUGUGCGGCUCCGACGGGCUGCCCCAUCUCAUCGUCAACGGCGACCAGCGGCACUGGGGCGAGUUCAUCACCCCCGGCCUGCUCUUCCUCUACAUCGCUGGUUGGAUCGGGUGGGUCGGGCGGAGCUACCUGAUCGCCAUCCGGGACGACAAGAAACCCACCAUGAAGGAGAUCAUCAUCGACGUGCCGCUCGCCACCAGGCUGCUCUGGAGGGGCUUCAUCUGGCCAGUGGCCGCGUACAGGGAGCUGGUCAACGGGGAGCUCAUCGCCAAAGACGUGUGAUCCGCAGGUGAAGGUGAGCUGAAACGCCCACAUCGCCAUAACAAAGAUGGUUCCUUUUUCUUGUGCUGCUACGAAUAAUACUGUUGCUUUUACACUGUGAUAACUCAUGCUAUUAAAGUUUGUUCUUUAAUUUAGAUCGACUGUAACUGAUGCUUUAGUUUGCUCGUUCUUAGUGCAUUGUUACUCAUCCUAUUUCUUAUUCUAAGCUUGGAAUCAAUUCCAAGUUUGUUCUUUUGGUUUGACUUGUGCUUAUGAAGCCGAGUUCAUCUUGGGCAUAUGUCUCUUAUUCUAAGAUAGGUGCAGAAAGAAAGGGAAGGUGCUCAAUCUGUGUUCAUAACACAAAGUCUAUGCUUAGUGUGGUGUACUUAAGAUUUGUAUAUCUACUUGUAAUUCAUGUUUGGACUUGUCAUAUUUCAGAAGCCAACUGAUCUAUGUUUCAGACCUUAAUCUCAAGCUGCUCUUCUCAGAAUCUGUACUGGAGUCUUAUGCACUGAUCUAUGUGUUCAUAACACAUCGUUUGACAUGGGAGUAGCAGCUAAAAUCUUAAUGUUGUAUGA
Musa acuminata subsp. malaccensis (wild Malaysian banana) is the source of this 1374-nucleotide non-coding RNA. The record is from RefSeq and is a predicted model, not a curated record. NCBI's taxonomy places the organism in Eukaryota, Viridiplantae, Streptophyta, Magnoliopsida, Zingiberales, Musaceae.